This 474-nucleotide ribosomal RNA is filed under the name uncultured bacterium. RNAcentral's name for it is "bacterial SSU rRNA". It matches the Rfam family "Bacterial small subunit ribosomal RNA", at positions 26 to 518 of the family's 1533-position model. The record is from RNAcentral.
AGGACGAACGCUGGCGGCGUGCUUCGUACAUGCAAGUCGAACGAGAAUCUGGAGCUUGCUUCAGAGGAAAGUGGCGGACGGGUGAGUAAUAUGUAGAGAAUCUGCCCUUGAGCGGGGGACAACAGAGGGAAACUUCUGCUAAUACCCCAUAUGAGCUUAGUUGAAAUACUAAUCUUGAAAAACUCCGGUGCUCAAGGAUGAGUCUGCAUCUGAUUAGCUUGUUGGCGGUGUAAUGGACCACCAAGGCGACGAUCAGUAGCUGGUUUGAGAGGAUGAUCAGCCACAAUGGGACUGAGACACGGCCCAUACUCCUACGGGAGGCAGCAGUAGGGAAUUCUGCGCAAUGGGCGAAAGCCUGACGCAGCAACGCCGCGUGAACGAUUAAGCCCUUCGGGGUGUAAAGUUCUGUCAGUAGGGACGAAUUUUGACGGUACCUACAGAGGAAGCACCGGCUAACUCCGUGCCAGCAGCGGC